This 252-nucleotide ribosomal RNA is filed under the name uncultured bacterium. Its description in RNAcentral is "partial 16S ribosomal RNA". It matches the Rfam family "Bacterial small subunit ribosomal RNA", at positions 524 to 776 of the family's 1533-position model. The record is from RNAcentral.
UACGUAGGUCCCGAGCGUUGUCCGGAUUUAUUGGGCGUAAAGCGAGCGCAGGUGGUUUAUUAAGUCUGGUGUAAAAGGCAGUGGCUCAACCAUUGUAUGCAUUGGAAACUGGUAGACUUGAGUGCAGGAGAGGAGAGUGGAAUUCCAUGUGUGGCGAUGAAAUGCGUAGAUAUAUGGAGGAACACCGGUGGCGAAAGCGGCUCUCUGGCCUGUAACUGACACUGAGGCUCGAAAGCGUGGGGAGCAAACAGG